AAGGCGGCAUCCGAAAAGCUUGAAAAGAGUAGAAA
This 35-nucleotide non-coding RNA is filed under the name unclassified sequences. RNAcentral describes it as "DUF805b RNA". It matches the Rfam family "DUF805b RNA". From Rfam's summary of the family: Bacteroidetes, Chlorobi (1 example), Proteobacteria. The record is from RNAcentral.